This 1451-nucleotide ribosomal RNA is filed under the name Bacillus pichinotyi. RNAcentral's name for it is "bacterial SSU rRNA". It matches the Rfam family "Bacterial small subunit ribosomal RNA". The record is from RNAcentral. Lineage: Bacteria; Bacillati; Bacillota; Bacilli; Caryophanales; Bacillaceae.
CUCUAUACAUGCAGUCGAGCGAAUCUGAGGGAGCUUGCUCCCAAAGAUUAGCGGCGGACGGGUGAGUAACACGUGGGCAACCUGCCUGUAAGACUGGGAUAACUUCGGGAAACCGGAGCUAAUACCGGAUAAUCCUUUUCUACUCAUGUAGAAAAGCUGAAAGAUGGCUUCGGCUAUCACUUACAGAUGGGCCCGCGGCGCAUUAGCUAGUUGGUGAGGUAACGGCUCACCAAGGCGACGAUGCGUAGCCGACUGAGAGGGUGAUCGGUUCCACACCUAGGACUGAGACACGGCCCAGACUCCUACGGGAGGCAGCAGUAGGGAAUCUACCGCAAUGGACGAAAGUUCUGACGGAGCAACGCCGGCGUGAGUGAUGAAGGUUUUCGGAUCGUAAAACUCUGUUGUUAGGGAAGAACAAGUACCGUUCGAAUAGGGCGGUACCUUGACGGUACCUAACCAGAAAGCCACGGCUAACUACGUGCCAGCAGCCGCGGUAAUACGUAGGUGGCAAGCGUUGUCCGGAAAUUAUUGGGCGUAAAGCGCGCGCAGGUGGUUUCUUAAGUCUGAUGUGAAAGCCCCCGGCUCAACCGGGGAGGGUCAUUGGAAACUGGGAGACUUGAGUGCAGAAGAGGAAAGUGGAAUUCCAAGUGUAGCGGUGAAAUGCGUAGAGAUUUGGAGGAACACCAGUGGCGAAGGCGACUUUCUGGUCUGUAACUGACACUGAGGCGCGAAAGCGUGGGGAGCGAACAGGAUUAGAUACCCUGGUAGUCCACGCCGUAAACGAUGAGUGCUAAGUGUUAGAGGGUUUCCGCCCUUUAGUGCUGCAGCAAACGCAUUAAGCACUCCGCCUGGGGAGUACGGCCGCAAGGCUGAAACUCAAAGGAAUUGACGGGGGCCCGCACAAGCGGUGGAGCAUGUGGUUUAAUUCGAAGCAACGCGAAGAACCUUACCAGGUCUUGACAUCCUCUGACAAUCCUAGAAGAUAGGACGUUCCCCUUCGGGGGACAAAGUGACAGGUGGUGCAUGAUUGUCGUCAGCUCGUGUCGUGGAGAAUGUUGGGUUAAGUCCCGCAACGGAGCGCAACCCGUGGAUCCUAGUUGCAAGCCAUCCAGUUGGGCAACUCUAAGGUGAACUGCCAGUGACAAACCGGAGGAAGGUGGGGAUGACGUCAAAUCAUCAUGCCCCUUAUGACCUGGGCUACACACGUGGCUUACAAUGGAUGGUACAAAGGGCUGCAAGACCGCGAGGUUUAGCCAAUCCCAUAAAACCAUUCUCAGUUCGGAUUGCAGGCUGCAACUCGCCUGCAUGAAGCCGGAAUCGCUAGUAAUCGCGGAUCAGCAUGCCGCGGUGAAUACGUUCCCGGGCCUUGUACACACCGCCCGUCACACCACGAGAGUUUGUAACACCCGAAGUCGGUGGGGUAACCGCAAGGAGCCAGCCGCCUAAGUGAA